UGGGGGGUCGCCAAGUGGUAAGGCAGCGGACUUUGGAUCCGCCACUCGAAGGUUCGAAUCCUUCCCCCCCAG
This 72-nucleotide transfer RNA is filed under the name Candidatus Dormiibacterota bacterium. RNAcentral describes it as "candidate division AD3 bacterium tRNA-Gln". It matches the Rfam family "tRNA". Rfam says of the family: Transfer RNA (tRNA) molecules are approximately 80 nucleotides in length. Their secondary structure includes four short double-helical elements and three loops (D, anti-codon, and T loops). The record is from RNAcentral. Lineage: Bacteria; Bacillati; Candidatus Dormiibacterota. RNAcentral also lists the same sequence under 1 other name.